AUGUCUUCUUGUAGUGAAGUCUUAUCUAUAUACAAAAAAUUUGCUACCAUGAUUCAUACCCAGUUUUCCACUCAUAUUCGUGUUCUUCGCGCAGAUUCAGCUGGUGAGUAUAUCUCCCGUGCGUUGCGAGGAUUCCUUGCUGAGCAGGGUACUCUUUGUCAGUUUUUUUGCCACGGUGCCCAUGCUCAGAAUGGUGUGGCUGAGCGCAAGCAUCGUCACCUUCUUGAGACGGCGCGUGCGAUGAUGAUUGCCGCCUCUCUUCCGCCUCACUUCUGGGUUGAGGCUGUUACCACUUCCACCUAUCUCACCAACAUUCAGCCUUCUACUGCUCUACAGGGUGGUAUUCCUCUCGAGCGUCUUUUUGGUCAUCCUCCUGAUUAUUCGGCGCUUCGUUUGUGUGGUUGUGUUUGCUAUGUUUUGCUUGCCCCUCGUGAAUGCACCAAACUGACCGCUUAG
RNAcentral lists this ribosomal RNA (456 nucleotides) under Triticum aestivum (bread wheat). RNAcentral describes it as "partial small subunit ribosomal RNA". Lineage: Eukaryota; Viridiplantae; Streptophyta; Magnoliopsida; Poales; Poaceae. The record is from RNAcentral.